UCUCUCUCUCUCUCUCUCUCUCUCUCUCUCUCUCUCUCUCUCUCUCUCUCUCUCUCUGAGAGAAAGAUCUCUUUGGCUAACGGAGCUUGCAGCCAGUGAACCCGCCUUCCACGUUGGUGUGAAGACAGAAGUGAGGUGGGGGGCAGGGAGGGGGUGUGAGAGAAUCUAAGAGCCAGAGGGAGCAGAGAGAGAGAGAGAGAAAGAGAGAGAGAGAGAGAGAGAGAGAGAGAGCGCUCGAGAGAGGAAGAGAGGAGGUGGUGGAGGAGGAGGACUAGUGUAGGGUGGAAAGGAAGAGUGAGCGCGAGCAAGUUGAAGGGAGGGGGUAUAAGAGCCAGCGAAUUCUUUUUCUUUUCCUGUUAUUAUUUUGACGACUCCCGAGUUGCGCCCAUGCUCUUGUCAGCUUCGUUUUAGGCGUAGCAUGGCCAGGCAGAAGAAAAUGGGGCAAAGCGUGCUCCAGGCGGUCUUCUUUUUAGUCCUGGGGCUUUUGGGUCAUUCUCACGGAGGAUUCCCCAACACCAUCAGCAUAGGUGGACUUUUCAUGAGAAAUACGGUGCAGGAGCACAGCGCUUUCCGCUUUGCCGUGCAGUUAUACAACACCAACCAGAACACCACCGAGAAGCCCUUCCAUUUGAAUUACCACGUAGAUCACUUGGAUUCCUCCAAUAGUUUUUCUGUGACUAAUGCUUUCUGCUCCCAGUUCUCGAGAGGGGUGUACGCCAUCUUUGGAUUCUAUGACCAGAUGUCAAUGAACACUCUGACCUCCUUCUGUGGGGCCCUGCACACAUCUUUUGUCACACCCAGCUUCCCCACUGAUGCAGAUGUGCAGUUUGUCAUCCAGAUGCGCCCAGCCUUGAAGGGUGCUAUUCUGAGUCUUCUGGGUCACUACAAGUGGGAGAAGUUUGUGUAUCUCUAUGACACAGAAAGAGGAUUUUCCAUCCUCCAAGCAAUUAUGGAAGCAGCAGUGCAAAACAAUUGGCAAGUGACAGCAAGGUCUGUGGGAAACAUAAAGGACGUCCAAGAAUUCAGGCGCAUCAUUGAAGAAAUGGACAGGAGACAGGAAAAGCGAUACCUGAUUGACUGCGAAGUCGAAAGGAUUAACACAAUUUUGGAACAGGUUGUGAUCCUGGGGAAACAUUCAAGAGGUUAUCACUACAUGCUUGCUAACCUGGGUUUUACUGAUAUUUUGCUAGAAAGAGUCAUGCAUGGGGGAGCUAAUAUUACAGGAUUCCAGAUUGUCAACAAUGAAAACCCUAUGGUUCAGCAGUUCAUACAGCGCUGGGUGAGACUGGAUGAAAGGGAAUUCCCUGAAGCCAAGAAUGCACCACUAAAGUAUACAUCUGCGUUGACACACGAUGCAAUAUUGGUCAUAGCAGAAGCUUUCCGCUAUCUGAGGAGGCAGCGAGUGGAUGUGUCCCGGAGAGGCAGUGCUGGAGACUGCUUAGCAAAUCCUGCUGUGCCCUGGAGUCAAGGAAUUGAUAUCGAGAGAGCUCUGAAAAUGGUGCAAGUACAGGGAAUGACUGGAAACAUCCAAUUUGACACUUAUGGACGUAGAACAAAUUAUACUAUUGAUGUGUAUGAAAUGAAAGUCACUGGCUCUCGAAAAGCUGGCUACUGGAAUGAGUAUGAAAGAUUUGUGCCUUUCUCAGAUCAGCAAAUCAGUAAUGACAGUGCAUCCUCAGAGAACCGGACCAUAGUGGUGACUACCAUUCUGGAAUCACCAUAUGUAAUGUAUAAGAAGAACCAUGAGCAACUGGAAGGAAAUGAGCGAUAUGAAGGCUAUUGUGUAGACUUAGCUUAUGAAAUAGCCAAACAUGUAAGGAUCAAAUACAAAUUAUCCAUUGUCGCCGACGGGAAAUAUGGUGCAAGGGAUCCGGAGACUAAAAUAUGGAACGGCAUGGUUGGGGAACUUGUCUAUGGAAGGGCUGAUAUAGCUGUUGCUCCACUCACUAUAACGCUGGUCCGUGAAGAAGUCAUCGAUUUCUCAAAGCCAUUUAUGAGCCUGGGCAUCUCCAUCAUGAUAAAGAAGCCUCAGAAAUCAAAACCAGGAGUAUUCUCAUUUCUGGAUCCCUUGGCUUAUGAAAUCUGGAUGUGCAUUGUCUUUGCUUACAUUGGUGUCAGUGUAGUUCUUUUCCUAGUCAGCAGAUUUAGCCCUUAUGAAUGGCACUUGGAAGACAACAAUGAAGAACCUCGUGACCCACAAAGUCCUCCUGAUCCUCCAAAUGAAUUUGGGAUAUUCAACAGUCUUUGGUUUUCCUUGGGUGCCUUUAUGCAGCAAGGAUGUGAUAUUUCUCCAAGGUCACUCUCUGGGCGCAUUGUUGGAGGGGUUUGGUGGUUCUUCACCCUGAUCAUAAUUUCUUCCUAUACUGCCAAUCUCGCUGCUUUCCUGACUGUGGAGAGGAUGGUUUCUCCUAUAGAGAGUGCUGAAGACUUAGCUAAGCAGACUGAAAUUGCAUAUGGGACCCUGGACUCUGGAUCAACAAAAGAAUUUUUCAGAAGGUCCAAAAUUGCUGUUUAUGAGAAAAUGUGGUCUUACAUGAAAUCAGCAGAGCCAUCUGUAUUUACCAAAACAACAGCAGACGGCGUGGCCCGAGUGCGGAAGUCCAAGGGAAAGUUCGCCUUCCUGUUGGAGUCAACCAUGAAUGAGUACAUUGAGCAGAGAAAACCAUGUGACACGAUGAAAGUUGGUGGAAAUCUGGAUUCCAAAGGCUAUGGUGUGGCAACCCCUAAAGGCUCAGCAUUAAGAACGCCUGUAAACCUUGCAGUAUUGAAACUCAGUGAACAAGGCAUCUUAGACAAGCUGAAAAACAAAUGGUGGUACGAUAAGGGGGAAUGUGGAGCCAAGGACUCCGGGAGUAAGGACAAGACCAGCGCUCUGAGCCUGAGCAAUGUGGCAGGCGUUUUCUAUAUACUUGUCGGAGGUCUGGGGCUGGCCAUGAUGGUGGCUUUGAUAGAAUUCUGUUACAAAUCACGGGCAGAGUCCAAACGCAUGAAACUUACAAAGAACACCCAAAACUUUAAGCCUGCUCCUGCCACCAACACUCAAAAUUAUGCUACAUACAGAGAAGGCUACAACGUGUAUGGAACAGAGAGUGUUAAGAUCUAGGGGCAAAUGGAUUUCAAUGGAGCAAGCCACAGAACCCUAUUUACCCUCUGUACCAGAUCCCUUCCUAUUAGAGGCAUGUGAGGAGAGGAAUCACCGAAAAUGUGGCUGCUUCAAGGAUCCUGAGCCAGAUUUCACUCUCCUUGGUGCCGGGCAUGACAUGAAUAUUGCUGAUGGUGCAAUGACCUUUCAAUAGGAAAAACUGAUUUUUUUUUUCCUUCAGUGCCUUAUGGAACACUCUGAGACUUGCAACAAUACAAACCAUCAUUGAAAUCUUUUUGCUUUGCUUGAGAAGAAAUAAAAUAAAACCAACAAAAAAUGGACAUGCAAGAUUCCAGUAUGUGAAAAAAAAUCUUAUUAAAAAAAGUCAAUUCAACAAAAGCCAUUCUUUGAUACCACUACACAGUACUUAAACACCAUGUUCUUUAAUACAUACACACACAAAAAAAAAUUAAAUUCCAGUUCAGCAAAUAGGCCCAUCUUAGCUAAAAUAAUUUCUCCUGAUAAAAAUCCUUUAACUCUCUGUGUGUGGGAAGACAAACUGGCAUUUCUUCUAGGAUCUGCUGACCAGAUGUUUUUGGUAUUUCCUGUUGGUGAUGAUGUUCUGUGCACACUACUUCUUUUCAACGUUGCUGAAAUGUAUAUAUCUUUAGACUGUAAAUGCAACAUUUAAGAAAAUUCAAAUACUUUGGAAAAAGGGACUCAACAGUUACUUCUCUGCAUUCUUAAAAUGCUUUGAUAACUUCCCACUCAGUGAAGGGAUUAACAGAGCUUUCAAAAUUGACUUGUGUGUAGUGAGGGAUGGGGCACGAUCAGGCAUACCUCUCGGUGCUUCCCUAAAACGAAUCCCUAGGGCUUUUCAAGAAGCCUGGAAUUUCAGCUCACAGAUCUGUUUUUCUUGCUUCAGUGUGCAUUUUAAGUCAAUAUAGCUCAGUAUCUAGCAUUGAGGUAAGGGAAAUGCUGCCUAUACUCCCAAAUAUGUCUAGAAUAUCUUUCUCAGAAACAACACUGUGUUUAGCUCUGCUUUAUCUGCUAAGUAUGCCUUUCAAGUGUACAUCACGGAGACAGUACUGUGUUGCAAAGCAAGCCAGUGGGUUCAGACCACAGAUUUCAAUCUGACUUUACUCUUGCUGGGUCUGUCUUACCAGCUGUUGCCUGUUACUGCCCACGGCUCUCCGUCAGACUGCAUGUGUCCUUUUCUAGUUUGCAAAGAAUAAAAUGCAUUCCCAAACCUACUGCUAAACUGAGGGCCUCAGCAUCACUCCAGGUCCUUGCUUGGAGCAGUGUCUCUACUGACUCUCAAGAAGAUCGCGCUGCUGCUCCACGGGCUAUCAAGUAACUAAUUGUGUACCUGCCAUUGGCAUCAUCAGAACAGUCAGAGGAAAUAGUCGCUCACUAAUUACCUCCUAUAUAACGACGUAUGCUUUCUGUAGUUCAAUAGUUUGCUCUCAUCAGUGACAUGCAUUGGGAAGUUUCCAGACUGUAAAAACUAAGAGCUCGAAUUUAUUUCCCAAGUGUGACCUUUAGAUGCUUAGUUGACUUGCUGAAAAUUUGCUCUUGUCUUCAGAAAAGAAAGGAAGAAAUCUCGUUCCAACAAAAUGUUUCUAGAAAAGUGUAAUAUAAACUUUCAUUCCAAAAAAAAGUGUGUCAUAAGUGAAUAACUUAUCUGUCAAAUUUUAAAUGGUAUUGAACAAAAAAAAAGAAAGCUGUUGUGUUUUUGUUUUGUUUUUACGAAACUGUAAUUUUCAACUUCUGAAUGCUAUAAUGUUCCAGUGCGGGAAACUAAUGCUGUGCAAAUAUGAAGUUAACAUAAAACAAACCAACCUACCUACAGACAAAUGUUUUCAUAGGCACUGUAUAAAAAGAAAUGUAUGUUUAUUGACUCAAAUAAGUUUUUCAGAGAGAAACUUAACUGAGAAUGAAAAGGCGGGUAUAUUGGUUUGUUAUUUUUUUAAAAUCUGCAUGUUUAAAAAACAUUGAUUGCUUCAAAUUUCUGCUACUAACUUCAAGCUAUGGGAGUUUGGCGGUAGUCACUUGAGGAUUUUUUCCCAAGUCUUUUUGUUGUUAAAGCUGUACUUCAGUGAACAGAAAAAUUGCCAAGCAAACUAAUGGCUGUAAAAGCAUAAAUUGCAUGUAUGGGUACAAAUUACGGAGCCUCAUUGCCAUGAGGUAUUGUACAAAGUUUUAAUACAUUUUGUAAAUAAAAUUGUAAAGAAAGAA
This is an RNA transcript of Pipistrellus kuhlii (Kuhl's pipistrelle), 5320 nucleotides long. It is a transcript of the gene named glutamate ionotropic receptor AMPA type subunit 3, with no coding region annotated. Lineage: Eukaryota; Metazoa; Chordata; Mammalia; Chiroptera; Vespertilionidae. The transcript has 17 exons. The record is from RefSeq and is a predicted model, not a curated record.